GUUGCAUAUGAAGGUGGUGCUGUCCACACCUGUCAUGAAGCCAAAGCUUGACUCAGCAGCGUACAAGUGACGACUCCUUGGUCGAGGGUUUGCUGCACAUCGACACGGACACCAAGCCCCGGCCACAAUGCCAGAGUCAAGAAGGAGAGCGGGAGCUUGGCAGCCGACAUCUUGCACCUGCUGCAGGCCAGCGAGGAGAUCGGUGCCCUGGAAUACAACCCCAGCAGCCAGCCCCCAGCCUGCCCCAGCAUGCAGGAAGCCAUUCAGGGAAUGCUGUCCAUGGCCAACCUGCAGGCCUCCGACUCCUACCUGCAGACCAC
Molecule: long non-coding RNA, 320 nt
Filed under: Homo sapiens (human)
Lineage: Eukaryota; Metazoa; Chordata; Mammalia; Primates; Hominidae
Description: novel transcript
Source: RNAcentral